CCAAAGUCAUUGUUCACCUCGUUGACCUGCUUUUCUGCCUCCUCCCUUGAUCCUUAAAGAGAUUCCGGUGGCUUAAUCAGAUCCAACUCUAGUGCCAGUUCGUCGGCCGGUGAAACUCAACCCUUUCCACAGGAUAUGGAGCUAACUAUCUGGUUAUUUCACCCCAAUCAGUGAGUUCUUUAGGUGAUUUUUUUUUUGUUAAACUAAUUAGGAUUGGCUAAUAUUAUUUCUUGGUUGCAGCCAGAUCUUGUUGUUUUCAUGAGGUAAUACCUAGCUACCCAAGUUCCUAGUUGCUUGCUAUAGAUGAUUAAGACACUAUAUUCUGGGUUUUUGUCAUAUCCUUGCUCCAAGGCCUGAAGCACCCACCUAUUCUCUAUCAGAAUAGCUUCUUGUGCUCUUCUUCUCAUAUUCUCAUCCCCAAAGUUUAACCUUGCCAAAUUAAAAUUAUCCUUUUUUGUAGAAAGGACCAAAUUAAAAUUAUCUAGUAGGAUCAACUAAUUAAUUUGACUAAUCAAUUCUAAGUAGAAUUUUGCUAAAUGUUUGAAUUUCAAUAGUUUCUCUUUUAUCUUUUUCUAAAUAAAUUAAUUUCUUUCUGAGCUUAUAAAAUUAAAUUUUAAUCUCUUAUUAAUGAUCAGUUCGAUUUUUGCUUUGUUUUCCAAUUUGAGUCAUUUCCUAGUUCUCAUUGAGGUAAAAAUAAUUUUUUCCAUAAGCACAAGGCAAAUAUGAAAUUAGUGGAUUUGUAUAUAUAUUGUAUGCUUUUGUUGUUUGUCUUUACUAGUACCUUUGUUUUUGACCAAAUUUUAAAGUAUUUUUUUAAGAUUAAAGAUUCUGUAAUAUUUGUUUGAUUAAUACCUUUUUGUUACUUAAUUUUUCAUUAUUUACAUUGUGGGUUUUCAAAAUUUUCUAUAAAACAGAAGGGAAAGGUAGUAGGAAACAAAAUCAUAACCUAAACAAUAUUUGACACUUGAAACAAGCAAGAAACCAAAAUUUACUUGGCUAGCUGUGGGCUGUUUUGAUUAUAAUGUCAUGUUUCUAAAUUUCUCUCUUAUUUCUUGGCUCUCCAUUUUGGACCCAUUGAAUAACUUGUCAAGACUUCGUUGAAUGUGCAUCUAAUUUGUAGAAGAUAGGGAUUAAUUCUUCUAUUUUUCAUUAAUUAGUUGUGGUGAAAGCCGCUUUUAUUUUUAUUUUGUUUACUAAGUCAUAACAUUUUAUUAUAGAUUGGCAUUUCACAAAUUUACACGAAAAAAACUUCUAGUGAAAGAGAAGAAUCAAGAAGUUAAAGCUGACAACAAAUUCAUGCCUACCAUAUCCAAUGAACAAAUAUGUUUGGGAGAGAAAUAAAAAAGGCAAGUAACAGGCCCAAUGGACUAAGCAAAGCUAGCAAUCUUUUUAGUUUAUUUAAUAUUCAACUCCAUCGGGCGAUGGGCGUACGUGAACCCCGAAAAGACCCUCGCCCCUCGCGAGUCACCCACACGAUUUGUGUAAACAUCGCCAGUUUGACUCUCUGUGGACGGAAGGAUGGCACGCUCGCAGGUGCUGGGGGAUCCAAUCCGCAGCAAGUACGUAGUUACUCAUCAUUGGAAGCAAAGUAAAAACAGAAAAGAAGAAGAUUCUGAUGUUCUCCUUAACACCCGGGGCUUGUGGCAGGACGGAUGCAUCAUCCUUAUCCGAAACUCGACAUGCGCUUCCAUAUGUUGGUUGUCUUGCUCUACUUCGAGACUGGAACAUAUAUAUUUAGUUGAUGAAUCUUAUUUAAUAUUGGUGGAGCCAAGGGUCAAAUCUAAAUUAAUAGCAUGCCCAUCACCAAUGGAUUAAUCAAGAAUCUUUAUAUCCAAAUGGAAACUGAAUCUUUAAUCAGCUCUGCAGAAAAAUGUAAAAUUUAUGCAGCAAAGAGGGACUUUUCUGGAUGUAAACAUUAUCUCUGUUGCGAUUAAGUGAUAGUAGCUUGCUUCAAAACAGAAAAACGUAACUUGCUAGGGAAGGUACAGUUGAGGUCAAAAGGUCAAAAUAAUGAAGUAGAAUUGGUGAAAUGGAUUUGAAAGCGACCCAAUCAUCUGUUAAGCUCCUUUGAACGGAUUAUUUGAUUCAGUUCGAUGAUAGACGAUGGUCGAGGCCUUUCGGGAAGAGCCAUGUCUGCUUUUCUGCGAUGUGUUCACCUUUUGGAAUAUGCACGUUUUCUCAGAGAAAAAGUUUGAUUGAACGGCAUCAUUGCCCUACGAAUCCAAUUUGUCCACGCUAAAUGCGAAGGAAAUUUGUGUUGAAAAGCAACGCCUAGCCCGAGUAAAGUCGCACUUGUCUAGAGCUAAUGCGCUAUAAGUUUGCUUAUGUUCCAUGGAAAUUGGAAAGAGCCUACCAUGAUACUUGUCCACGCUAUGUGUGAAGGAGAUUGUGUUCCAAAUAUUAAACAAACUAGAUUAUGGCCCGUGGGUUGCACACAGGCCUCUUUCUAUUUGUUUGUUUCUUUCUCUUUUUAUCUCGUUUUUUCUUUCAAUUUUUUCUUUUUUCCUAUACCUUCCACGUGGCUAAAUGAAGAAGCCACUUUGGAUCUUCCUUUUAUAUAUGUUAUAGAUAGAAAUCGUUCACAACUGCAGCUAUAUAUAUUCCAACGUCUGAGAGGGUUGGCGGUUGCAAUUACUAAGAAAAUGCUGCUGAAUAAGGUUUAGGUGUUUGUGUUAAUUUAGAAACAUUCAUGUAUUAUCCUGAUUAAGUCUUUUUUUUCCUUUUAAUUAAUCAAAUGAAUUUUAUUAGGUAUCAGGAAAUGACAUAUAAUUGAGACUAUUGAUCAGAUUUGAGCUUAAUAUUAACAACCCCCUUUUAUUAUUAAGCAAAAAUUGUCUGAGUUCUGUCUACUUUAAAUUUGACAAAUGAGUCUAUAAAAAUAUUUUCUUUCCCAUAGAUAUGCAUAAAAUCUAAAUUCUCAAUUUCUUUUAAAUUAACAGCGGUUGAUUUCAUUGAACAUGCAUCAAUAAAUCCGUGACCUUUGUUCCUCAUCAUAUAUCCAAGAAAUUGUAACUAAUGAGUCUAAUUCAGUAAUCAACCUUUAAAUCCAAAUAUCAGUUGGAAACAUCUCAACAGUCUUCUGAUUAAGCUUGGCUAAGUCUUUUAUCAUUGGAUGAAAAUCAACCAAAAACUAAUUCGGUUCCUAUGAUGAUAUUUAUCAGAUGAAAAAAAGGAAUAGUGCAAAUAUUCUUAGGAAUACUAUUACUUUAUACUUAAUUGUGUGUUCCAAAGGAUUAUCAUUAUUAUUACCAUAUCAUUUUUUUUUCAUCUGAGCUCAUACAAAACUGCUUACAUUAAACUAUCGGAAGAAUAAACUAUCUGAUUAGUACUAGUUAACUAUUGACAAAUCUGAUGAAACUUCCUGCUUUUUGCCUCAAAAAGGAAAAUAAUGCUUAUCCUAAUUAAAACAUUAUGAAAAGGAAAUAGAUUAUAUUUUUAAUUUGUUAGCUCAAAAACUUUAUAUGAUGUGUAACCAUAAAAAUUUUCUAGUUUGGCAGCCAAAUAGAAAGACACUUGAAUUAGAAAUCCACCAAUGUUUGUUACAUCAGAUUUGAGUCAUAACUUGAAUCACUCCUUAUUAAAAGCAACAAUAAAAAUAAUUUAGAUGAUGUAAAAAGUAGUGUAAUUCCAAUGAUUCAAACACAGAGUUAAACACUAUCAAUCAGACAUUACCCAAUUAAAGCAAACAGUUGUAAUUGGAGGUACCUUUCUGCCCCAUUUUAGCACGGCAAAAAGGCAUUAGUACAAGUAGGUGCUUCCUUCUCUGCUUGGUGGUAAACCCGUAAGUUGCUGUAUGACUCUUAACGCUGCAAUCUUUCUUUUUGCUCCAUUGUCAAUUUUAUUUUAAUAUAUUAUUUGACAUGUAAUAUUAUUUUUUAUUAACUAGAUUAUAAUUAUAAAUUCAAACUAUCAAAUUAAUCAAAAAAUAUUUAGACAUGAAAUAUUUAAAAACUUAAUUUGGGUUAAAAAUUACUUAUAAUUGAAAUCUAUAUGAGUUAUUUUAAAAGAGUGAAAAAUAUAACCAAAGACCAAGAAGAGGAAUGACUUGAAUUUUUGAAUAAGGAGAGUAGUUUAAGUUUUUAUUUUUUUAAUAAAAUCUUAAAUUAUAAGAAAAAAUUAUUUUAUCUUUUCACGUAGUAUUUAACUAUUAAUAUAUAAAUCACUUUUAUUUGAAGUUUUUGACCUCACUUUUUAUAAAAUUAUAAAAAAAAUAAAUUUAUUAAUAUAUUAACUACCCUAAACCAUAGAUAAAUAUUAUAAAAACUAAAUCCUUUUACACUCUCUUCAACAUGGGUCGGCCCGUGGUUAACAGACUGAUAGAACCAUCAUCAUCCUCGUUAUAGUGCAAGCAAACAUUCUACUAAUCACACGCCAUACAUUGAGUUACUUUGAACCAUCGAAUGUUUGAUAAAAUAUUACUCUUCACCACUUGAGUUUUUAUCAACGAAGAAUAGCUUUUCAAAAAAAAAAAAGAAAAGAAAAUACUGCCAAAUUGCAACGGGCAGGAGUAAAGUUUUGCAAGCUUUACCAAUUACAACCUAAUAAACAAUAGAAAUCGUUGACAAAAGCGGCUUAAUGAGGCGGGCAAAUCCGGUUUGCCUUGCAAAGAAGGAUUUAAUGAGGCGUUUGAUGACGUUUAUACAACAAAACUUCCACAAAUUUGACGGCGGAAAGGGGCAUUUCUGCUGUGCUGCAUUGGGUAAUCCUACUGUGCUGAGUUGUCAAAGGAAACGAGGCUGCGGUCGUCGACGUGGAACAUUCAUGCGAUAAGUGAAGGAAUUUCUUAAGAAGAGAGGGGCAAAUAGUUUUUUGGUGGGUUUGGACUUCACACUUUGGAUCAACAAAACACCGAAGGAGGGUACAGCUGAAAAGGUAAUGAUUUUAUUGACCGUGGAAAAUUCCGCAUUUAACUCUGUUAAAUGCCAUUUGCGCCGACGGAAAUAGUUUUACCAUUUUAGCCCUUUUUAGCCCUCGGAAUUCCUACAUCUCCUAUAGAAUUUAGCACCAAUUCCUAACAAGAAAGGGCUAAAGGUAAAAGUGGACAAUAUAAUAAGUUCUUGGGAUGCAUUGCCUUUCUGUAUCUAUAUAUAGCAGCUGAUUUCAUAAGGAUUUAUUACCACUGUCCCUUCCUAAGUAGUAGUACUAAAAUUUUCAGACAGCCUUCACCCACCAGCCACCAUGCCUCAAGCAAAAAAGAUGUUCUCAAAGUCACUUACUGACACUGACAUCAACAAAAGGUUGGCGAUACCGGCUAAAAUCCUGCCUUCCUUGCCAGAUUUCAAUGGAAGCCAUACCGUGACAAUUCACCUUAUGUACGGCACAAAGACGUGGCCAAUUAUUUGUUCUAUCCGCAAAACUGGGUACAAGAAACCUGUUUUCUCCGGUGGUUGGAGAAAUUUUGUUAUUUUCAAUGAUUUCCAUGUUGGCGAGGUCCUCACGAUGUACAAAGUGCAAGAUGAAGAGGGCUCUUUCCAUUAUAAGGUUGAAGUGGAGAAGCUAGCCACACCAUCCGUGGCUCUUUCCACUCGGGCUGUCUCUUUGAAUCCUGAGGUAGAUGAAACCACUGGCACAAGCCACCCAAAAAUCAACAACUUUCAACACGAUCAAGAGCAACUGCCUAAGGCUGAUGCACCGGUCAUACAGGAGGGAGCUACCAUGGAGCUAGCCGAUGCUGCAGCUAAUGCGCCGGUCCCUUUCGUUGAUCAUUUUAUUGCCAAACUAUCUGGCAUGAUAUUUGGGACUGCUGUGAGUGAUGAAGCGACUAGCAAGGCUUGCGUCAAGCCCGAACAUGAGACAGAAAUGAAGUUCUUUGGCAUUACGAGGGGUAUUGGCAUGGGUGAACCACCGCUCAUCAAGGCUCAAUGUGAUCUGAAUGAGUCCGUAAGUACGGAAAGGCUUAACUUGGACUUGGUUCUGGGACAACCAAAUCUAACCAAAGAAGAGAGAGACACCAAGGCUCCCUUUGAUCUCAAUGGGGGUGGUUCACUGGCCGUCUUUGGCACUAGUCAAGCUACUGAGGAAGCAUAUUCCGAGAGUACUGGAAGGCUUAACUUAGACUUGGUUCUGGGACAACCAAAUCCAUAUAACAGAGCAGUGAAUAUUGAUUUGACUUUGGCGCAGCCCCUUGCCGAUAAUCGAAGCACCGUCUUUGCUCACUCAAAACCAUAGUAGGAAGUUACAAGAUCAAAGAGAGCUAGAACAGCAGUGCGGGAGCUUUUCGAAGCCUAUCAUGGUCGAGGGUCAUAGUCUAAACUGAACUCCGCUGAACAAGUCCUUGCGUGGAUCAGUCCAAUUUUGUUUCUCGUCUUAUUUUAUUUUCCAGUACUUUUUAACUAGAGUUGCUUAUCCUGCUAGCUUGACAGUUUUUGGGGAUUUGGAUUGUGGAGAAUACUGUACGAGUAGUAUAUGCUUUUUAACCUUUUGGGUUCUGUUCUUGGGUUUAUUAUAUGUUCUUGAUGUAAAUCAUAUAAUAUAGUAAUAACAAUUAACGUGUGAGUUAAGGGUCUCCAGUUUUUGUUCAUUUUAAGUUUCUCUUUUUUUUUUUUGGUAUUUUUAAAGAUGAUAGAUAUCCUUUUUGGCCAAUGGAGAUGACUCGUUAAAGUAGCUGCUUGAUAUUACUUUUUGAUUUGAGUGAAAAGCCCCAUAUAAUAUGACUUGGUUUUUUAGUCGUUCUUAAGCCGAAGUCGCUGUCCACCUUGUUGACCUGCCUUUCUGCCUUCUCCCUUGAUCCUUAAAGGGUUCCGGUGGGUUAAUCAGCUCCAACUCUACUGCCAAUUCGUUGGUCGGCAAAAUUCAACCCUUUCCAACAGGAUAUGGAGCUAACUAUCUGCUUGUUUCAUCCUAAUCAGUGAGUUCUUUAGGUAAUUUUUUUUGUUUUUAGUAAAUUAAUUAGCAUUUGCUUUAUUUCUGGUUGCAGCCAGAUCUUGUUGUUUUCCUGGGGAAAUACCUAGCUACCCAAUUUCCUAGAUGCUUGCUAUGGAUGGUUAAAACUCUACAUUCUGGUUUUUAUUUUUUCAUGUCCUUGCUCCAAAGCAUGAAACACCCACCUGUUCUCUAUCAGAGGAAGAGCACAAGAAGAACCGAUGGCUGCACUUGAUACUUGUUCUGCUGACUUAGCAGCAGUUGUAUCAAGUGCAGCUAGUUCUCUUCUUCUGAUAUUCUCAUCCCCUUACGUUUAGCUUGCCAAAUACAGUAGUAUCAACUAAUUAGUUACUCGCUGAGCGUAUUUAAUUUUAAUCUCUUGUUGAUGUUCAGUUCGAUUUUAUGUACAAUUCUUUUUGUCUUCAGAAAUUACUUUGGAGAUAUAAUUUUAGUAGAAAAGUCAUUUGAUUUGUCAACAAUUCAAGUAGUUAACCCAAUAUUGAAGCAUCUUACAUAUGUUGCCAAUCACUUGCACUAUGGUAGGCUUACAAGGUUUUCUAGUUUAAAAUUUCCAUCUCUUCUUUUACCUUUUCUUUUCUUUUUUUUUCUAUAAUUUGUAUUGACNGGGUCUAUAAUUAUAUUAUUUUCUUGGCUGCCUAUUUUAGACCGAUUGAGUACCUUGUCAAGACUAGGUCUUUCUGGAAGUUAGGGAUUAAUUCUUCGAUUUUUCGUUAAUUAGUUGUGGUUUGGGGUUCAUGUUCUGCCAGAAAUAGAACUUUCACAAAUUUGCAUGAAAAAACUUCAAAGUGAAAGAGAAAAGUCAAGAACUUUAGCUGACAACAAAUUCAUACUUACCAUAUAUAUCAAAUGAACAAAUAUUGUUUCGAAGAGAAAUGAAUAAGGCAAGCCACCGGGCGAAUGGACUGAGCAAAGCUAGCAAUCUCAUACAUUUAUUUAAUAUUCAACUCUAUGGAGCGAUGGGCGUACGUGAACCCCAAAAAGACCCUUACCCCACGCGAUUCACCCACACCAUCUGUCGAAACAUUCCCAAUUUGGACAAAACCAUGGCAAGCUUGCAGCUGCUGGGGGAUCCACUCCACAGCUAAGUACGUCGUAGUUACACUCAACAUUGGAAGCAAAGCAAAAAUAGAACAGAAAGAAGAUUCUGAUCUUCUUCUUAACAUCCGAGGCCUGUGGUAGAAGAUGUUUUAUUGGUUCGAAAGCAACUGGGAAUACGUUGCACGUGUAGUUAGUAGCCAAUCAAAACCCACAUUGACCGUUGAAACUUGAACAAAAAUAUUAAUUCCACUCAUUUGAUUCAGUCCAAUGAUGGAAGUGUGUUGUCUCUACCAUGAUGUACUUGUGCUUCAUUCAAGAAAAGUACAAACUUGGCCCGAUCAGGGCUUAAUUUUUCAGUCAGCUGACUCAGCUCACUUUCUCCAUUUGGGAUUUUAGCAUCUCAGUUAGUGUUUGUACUUGGGAGCCUAAACCUUUACAAGCCGAGUAUGGACCAAUUAACCUCAGCCUGUUAGUCCGUAUUGCUAAAGUUGAAUCGCCAGAGUUUAACGUGGGCAAUAUUGCUCCGCGGACUGCGGUGUCAGUUUAAACAAAGAAGAAGAAGAAGAAGAAGAAAGGCAUCCAUCCACCAGAAUGUUAUAAACUGACAAAACAGCCAUAAACAAUUUACUACUCUACUGCUUUCCUUUUUGAUCGGAAGCGUAUUGGCAAAUGCUCAAGAUCUUGCUCCUGGCCGCUGUUUUUUACUCUGUGCUUGUUAAUUAUUCAUUUCUUAGAAGGGGCGUGCAAUAUAUAUUCAGACCAAAAUGGUGUUCAACUUUUCAUCCUACAUUCCGGUAAUUGAAUUCCCAAAUAUUAUUUUGACACUGGCAUCCAACUAUAUAUAUAUUAGAAACUAUACACCAGGGUUCCACUAUUUGUACAGGUAUAACAAACCUAGCAGGCAAUUUUUUAAAUUUGAGAACAGUAUUGUUAAUGAAAGCUUAAAUGCAAAUUAUAGAAGUUGAACAGCGGCAAUGGCUGGAAUUUUCUCUCGCAAUUUCUGCGUAACAGCCACUCUUUACUGUCAUGACCCCUGCUGCUGGACGAACUUCACUAUUGGCUCCUUAGUGGCAAUUAAUUCAAGAGAAACGCCUGCUGCCCCAGCAAAGGUCAUAGCUAGAGUGAUAAAUGUCCAUAAAUAGAAGUGAAAACAGUCCAAUCAACAAUCAAAAACAAUGCCAUAUUUUGACUAAGGAUUUAAGCCAAAUGGAAGGAAAGAGAAAAUUAAACAAAUAAGGGCAAAAUAUCCAAUUAUGUAUUACUUCGUCUACCUGACAUUUCUAAUUUCCUUGCCCCAUGUUCUAUCAUCCUUGCAUGUCUCCCUUCUCAUCAAACAAUAAAAGAUGUGAAGUAUGAUUUGAUGAUCUAAUAUGGACAGAUUGAAAAUCUUGUGAUUAGCUUGUUCUAAACUUUGUCUUCCGAGCUUGCUGCAUAUCUAGAUGAUUUGUUGAUUUAGUCUUGGAAUUGUCUGCUGCUACUGCUGAAUUUCAAUUGCUAAACUUCUGUCAGAUGUUGAUCUUCUACUGAGCUUGAUCUAAUGCAACAGUACCAUCUUUCAAUUGAGAUUCGACACUGGUAACCAUUGGUGUAAUGACUUCCUUAGUAUUAUCCACGUCUAAUUUCUGUAAAAAAAAAAAAUCUUUAAUGUACUUGUGCUGUGAUAAAAACUUGCUUGUAAUGUUGAUCUAACCUCAACACCAAAAAAAAAAAAUCCAGUGUACUGAAAUAUUUUAAGUGAGAAUUUGUUUACAAGCUGGUGUAGAAAGUCAUCUAUAUAGACCAAGAAAGUUAAACUAAGAUAAAAUUCUUGACAUAUAAAUAAGUAAGCAUGCAUCAGAAUCUGAAUUGUGAAAACCAUAAACAAUAAAAGAACUGCUUAAUUCCUAAUAUCAAUCUUGAAGUGGAUUUCAUAGAUAUGAGCUUGUCUUUAUCAAUGAAUAGUGAGUUUAUUAAGUGAACUUUUUUGGCAUGAAAUGUUAAUUCACGAACUUUAUACGAUUAUUUCUAUUCAUUUUAAAUUUGAUAUGAGUCAACAAAAACAUUUAAUUUUCAAUAGAUGUGCACAAAAUCUAAAUUCUCAAUUUCUUUCAACUCGUAGUCAAAUUCAUUGAACAUGUGCCAAUAAAUCCAUGGCCUUUGCCCCUUAUCACAUAUUCAAGAAAUCGUAGCUUUUGAGUCCGAUUCAAUAAUAAACUUUUAAAUUCAGAUAUCAGCUUGAAAUAUCUCAACAAUCUUAUAAUUAAGCUUGAUUUCAUUGGAUUAAAAUCAACCAAAAACUAAUUCAGUUCCUGUGAUGGUGUUUAUCAAAUGAAAGAAGGAAUAGUGUGCAAGUAAUUCUUAGCAAUACUAUUACUGUGUACUUAAAACUACUUACAUCAAACUAUUGGGAGAAUAAGAUAUUUAAUUACUACUACUUAGCUGUUGACAAAUCUGAUAAAAUUUUUUGUUUUUUGUUCUAAAAAGAAAAAUAAUGAUUGCCCUGCCCUAACAAAAUUAGCUAGGAUCUUGGGUUUUCCAUUUUUAAUUAGGAUCUUAAUUCUCUGGGUGUAUGUAUUGCUACAAUAUCUGCUUGAAUAGUUCCAACAUUAUCAAUGGAAGCAAUUGUAGUACGUCCACAAAAGGCAAACUUUAAAGAUAUAUAUAAAAAGGAAGCUUAUAAUUUUUAUAGGAAGCAAAUAUGAAUCUAGCUGAACGGGAACAAGAAUAUUUGUCAACUCAAACGGGAUCUAGCUAGCUUAUAAAACAAAGAAAAAAGAAUACUAAUAUCCUGAAUUGAUUAACUUGUCCUUUAGUAAAGUUAGUUAACAACUUCAUUUGGCAACAUAUAUUCAAGACUAAUAUUACAAAGAAAGGAUGCUUUGAACCAGGCGAUUGGACAGUGAGAGAAACGAUGAAUAACCAGAGGAAUUGCCGUACUCCAUCUACUAGAUGCCAAAAAUGGCAUGCAACUAUGGAAUUUUCCCAUGACAACAAGACCAGACCGGACAACAACCAAAACCAAAAGCAAAUUAAAAGGAUUGAAACGUAGACUGUUAGGAUCAAUUGAUAGUCUCUUUUCAGCAAUGAGUUCAUUUUGGAAGGAUAUUGACAACAUCCAAGGUAAUAUAAUAUAUGCACCUGAAUAAAUCUGAUGGAAGUAAAGUCCCAAUUUCCUGAGGAAGUAGAUAAACUUAGUUACCUCUUGCCACUUUCAUUUUGAAAGGAAGGGGGCAUUAGUGCAAGUAGGUAUUAGCAGAUUGAUGGUAUCAUCAUCCUCAUUAGUGCAAGCAAACUUUCUACUAAUCACACGCCAUACAUUGAGUAGUUUUGAACCCUCGAAUCAGAUGACAAAAUACUGCCAAUUGCCACCAUAAAGUGUAGCUACCUUUACCACCUCUCUUGUUCCUGAUUUCUUCGAUUGUCAUUUGAACUUUUCAAGUGCUUAAUAGGCCUUUGUGCUUGAUAGUGCGUUAUUCUUUGAACUUUUUGGCAUUGAAAUGUGAAGCAAAUUAGAUUCCGGAUACUUGUGCACAUGCAAUGCUCUCCAAUCAUCCUUUUUAAUUGAUCAAAGCUCCAAAAUAUUAAACAAAUAGAAAUCGUUGACAAAAGCGGCUCAUAUGUCUUUUCGAUGUUUAACAAGGUGGUGUCAUGACUUGCAACUACAUAUGACAUUUGAAAAUGGAUUUUUACAAAUUUAACCCUCAAAACUUGGAAAAACUAGUGUUUUUUCUCUGUUAAAUCAUAUGAAUUUGGGGGGCAGAAAGGGGCAUUACUGCUUUAUGUUUGCGAUUGCAACUGUAUCCGGAAGUCCUCCUGUGCUGAAUUGACAACGACAACCUCGGUCGGAAAAAAGAAUUGACAACGAAAUCACGUUGUAAAUGAUUGUUUGAGCCAAAAAAAAUUGCUUUAUAAAGAGAUUUACACCCUUAGCCCUAACCGAUAUCACGACUCUAUAUGAUAAGUGAAGGAAUUUCAUAAGAAGAGAGGGGCAAUUUUUUUUGGUCGGUUAGCACUUUCACACUUUGAACCAACAAAAAACCAAUGGACGGUAUUGUUGAGAAGAAAAUGAUUUUAUUGAGGUGGAAACUAACCGACCAUAGCAGAAUUCCCCCGAUGGAAAUCGUUUUUCCAUUCUGGGCCUUGAAACUCUUCCCAUCUCUUACGGGAUUUAGCAUGGAUUCCUUAAAAAGAAAGGGCUAAAUGUAAGUACGUUGGGUGCAUCCAGUUUGUGUAUCCUAUAUAUAUAGCUCAUUUCAAAAGGAUUUAGUACCUCUAUCACUUCCUAAGCUAGUAGUACUAAAAUUUUCAGACAACCUUCACCCCCCCAGCCACCAUGCCUCAAGCAACAAAGAUGUUCUCAAAGUCACUGACUGAGACUGACAUCAAGAAAAGGUUGGCGAUCCCCGCUAAAAUCCUGCCUUCCUUACCACAUUUCAAUGGAAGCCAUGCCGUGACAAUUCCCCUUAUGUACGGCACAAGGACGUGGCCAAUUGUUUGCUCUGUCCGCAAAACUGAUUACAAGAAAUCUGUUUUCUCCGGUGGUUGGAGAAAUUUUGUUAUUUGCAAUGAUUUCCAUGUUGGUGACAGACUCACCAUGUACAAAGUGAAAGAUGAAGCGGGCUCUUUCCACUAUAGGGUUGAAGUGGAGAAGCCAGCCACACCAUCCGUAGCUCUUUCAGCUCGGGCUUUCUCUUUGAAUCAUGAGGUAGAUGAAACCACUGGCACAAGCCGCACAAAAAUCAGCAACUUUCAACACGAUCAAGAGCAACUGCCAAAGGCUGAUGCACCGGUCAUACAGAAGGGAGCUACCAUGGAGCUAGCCGAUGCUGCAGCUAAUGCGCCGGACCCUUUCGUUAAUCAUGUUAUUGCCAAACCACCUGGCAUGAUAUUUGGGACCGUUGUGAGCGAUGAAGCGACCAGCAAGGCUCACUUCAAGCCUGAACAUGAGACAGAAAUGAAGUUCUUUGGCAUUACCAUGGCUAUUGGCUUGGGUGAACCAAUGCUCCAUGCGUGCUAUAUAACCAAAGAAGAGAGAGACAUCAAGGCUCCAGUUGAUCUCAAUGGGUCCCUGAGUACGGGAAGGCUCAUCUUGGACUUGGUUCUGGGACAACCAAAUCUAACCAAAGAAGAGGGAGACAUCAAGGCUCCCUUUGAUCUCAGUGGGGGUGGUUCACUGGCUGUUUUUGGCACUAGUCAAGCUACUGAAGAAGCAUAUUCCGACAGUACCGGAAGGCUGAACUUGGACUUGGUUCUGGGACAACCAAGUCCAUAUAACGGAGCAGUGAAUUUAGAUUUAACUUUGGCGCAGCCCCUGGGCGAUACUCGAGGCACCGUAUUUGCUCACUCAAAACCAUAGUAGGAAGUUACAAGACCGAAGAGAGCAAGAACAGCAGUGCGGGAGCUUUCCGAAGCCUGUCAUUGUCGAGGGUCAUAGUCUAAAGUGAACUCUGCUGAAUAAGUCCUCGUGUUGAUCACUGCAAUUUUGUUUCUCUUUUUUAUAUUAUUUCCGGCUACUUUUAUCUAGAGUUUCUUAUCCUGCUAGCUUGACAAUUUUUUGGAGUUUUGGAUUGUGGAGAAUACUGUACGCGUAAUAUAUGCUUUUUAAUCUUUUGGGUUCUUUCCUUGGUUUUAUUAACUAAAGUAGCUGCUUGAUUUCAAUUUUUGAUUUGAUUAAUCCCUUAGGGUCACUGAAAAGCCCAAUAUAAUAAGACUUGUUUUUUAAGUCUUUCUCUCGCCAGAAUUGUUGUCCCUCGUUGACCUGCUUUUCUUCCUUCUCCCUUGAUCCUCAAAGGGAUUCCGGUGGGUUAAUCAGAUCCAACUCUAAUGCCAAUUCGUCGGUCGGCAAAAUUCAACCCUUUCCAACAAGAUAUGGAGCUAACUAUCUGCUUGUCUCAUCCUAAUCAGUGAGUUUUUUUUUUUUUUGUUUAUUGGUAAACUAAUUAGGAUUUGGUAUUAUUUCUUGGUUGCAGCCAGAUCUAAGAUCUUGUUGUUUUCAUGGGGAAAAACCUAGCUACCCAAGUUCCUAGUUGCGCGCUAUAGCUGAUUAAAACUCUAUUUUCUGUUUUGUUUUUUUCAUAUCCUUGCUCCAAAGCAUGAAACACCCACCUAUUCUCUAUCAGAGGAAGAUCACAAGAAGAACCGAUUGCUGCACUUGAUACUUGUUCUGCAUACUUAGCAGCGGUUGUAUCGAGUGCAGCUUGUGCUUUUCUUUUGAUAUUCUCAUCCUCCCUUACGUUUAUCUUGCCAAAUUAAAAUUAUGCAAAAGUAUUAACUAAUUAAUUAAUUAUCAUUAGAGUUUUGUUGAAUGAUUGAAUUUCAACAUAAUUUAUCUUUUAUCUAUUUUUGAAUAAAUUAACUACUCACUCACCUUAUUUAAUUUUAAUCUCUUAUUAAUGUUCAAUUCGAUUUUGUGUACAAUUCUUCUUGCUUUCAUUAAUUACUUUGGAGAUAAUUUUAAUAGAAAAGUCAUAUGAUUUGUCAACAAUUCAAGUAGUUAUGUUGCCAAUCAUUUGCACUAUGGUGGGCUUACAGGUUAUCUAGUUUAAAAUCUCCAUCUGUCCUUCUUUUUCUUUUCUUUUCCUUUUUUUUUUAUAAUUGAUUAUUAAAACUUUUAUCUGCUUAAAUGGUUCAUUUGGUCAAUUAAUAGAUCUAAUAAUAAGAGUAUUUUCUUGGCUGCUUAUUUUGGACCGAAUGAGUAACUUGUCAAAACUAUGUUGAAUGUUCAUCUUUGCAGAAGUUAGGGAUUAAUUCUUUUAUGCUCUCAUUUCCUGUCACAUUUGGAAAGAAAAAAACUUAAAAUCAAACAUAUAUUAAUCAAUUAUAAAAAUAAAAACACAUGAUAAUUUAUGAGCGUUUAAAUACGAAAUGAGGCAAGAAAUGAGAACAAAUAAUUUGGAUUCUUUGCAUGAAAAAAAACUUAGAGUGAAAGAGAUAAAUCAAGAAGUUAAGCUGACAACAAAUUCAGACAUAACUUAUCAAUGAAGAAAUAUGUUUCAAAGGAAAAUAAUUAAUGAAAUGAAUAAGGCACAUAACAGGCCUAAGGGACUAGGCAAAGCUAGCAGUCUCUUUCAUUUAUUUCACAUUCAACUCUAUCGGGCGAUGAAGUAUGUGGACCCCAAAACAGAACCUUUGCCCCUCGCGAGUCACUCACAUCAUCUGUCGAUGGAACGCGCGCCGCUGCUGGGGAUCCACUCCGCAGGGAAAGUACGUGGUUAUACUCAUCAUUGGAAGCAAAAGCAGCACAAAAAGAAAAGAAAGAAGAUUCUGAUGUUCUCCUUAACAUCCGGGGCCUAUGGCAGGACAUGUUUUGUUGCUGAAACAAAUUCAUCAUAUCCUUACUCGAAAACUCUGACAUGCGUUUCCGUACGUUGUUUGUCCUUGCUGCAGAGGCCUAGUUAGGUACACACAUUAAUUUAACUAUAGAGAUCUACGAAAACAAAGAAUAAAACCAAUCAAAAACUUUAGACCCCUAAAAAGAUAAAAUAAUUGAAAAGUAUUGAAGAAACCCAAGGCGAGCACCACACUGACCCAGCCCACGUUCUCUAAUUGGGGUUUCAGUUAGUGUUACAUCUUGGGAGCCUAAACCUUUACAAACUGGGUGUGGACUAAUUAAUUGACAUCAGCCUGUUACUGUUAGCCCGUAUUGCUAAAAGUUGAAUCCCCAAAGGUCUAUGUGGGCAAUAUUGCUCUGCGGACAGCGGGGUAAGUUUAAGCGAAGAAGAGGAGAGCCACCUCAGUGGCAACUAAUCCAAGAGAACCACCUGCUGCCCCAACGAAGCUCAUAGCUAGAAUGAUAAUUAAUGUCCAUAAAUAGAAGUGAAAGCAGGCCUUCAACAAUAAAAAAACAGUGCCAUAUUUUGACUAAGGAUUCAAGCCAAAUGGAACGAAAGAGAAAAUUAAACAAAAAAGGGCAUAAAAUCCAAGUAUGUAUUACUUUGUCUGCAUGACAUUUCGAAUUUCCUUGCACCAUGUUCUAUCAUCCUUGCAUAUCUCCCUUCUCAUCAAAUAAUAAAAAGAUGUGAAGUAUGAUUUGAUGAUCUAAUCUGGACAGAUUGAAACUCUUGUGAUCAGCUUGUUCUAAACUUUGUCUUCUGAGCUUGGUGCACAUCUACAUGAUUUGCUUAUUUAGUCUUGGAAUUGUCUGCUGCUACUGCGGAAUUUCAAUUGCUAAACUUCUGUCAGAUGUUGAUCUUCUACUGAGCUUAUCUAAUGCAAUAGUACUAUCUUUCAAUUGAAAUUCGACACUGGUAACCAUUGGUGUAAUGACUUAGUAUUAUCCACGUCUAAUUUCUGAAAAAAAAAAACCAUCUUUAAUGUACUUAUAUUGUGAUAAAAACAUGCUUGUAAUAUUGAUCUAAACUCAACACCCAAAAAAAAAGAUCAAUGUACCAAAAUAUUUUAAGUGAGAAUCUGUUUACAAGCUGAUGCAAAAAGUCACCUAUAUAGACCAAGAAAAGUAAAUUAAGAUAGAAUUCUUGACGUAUAAAUAAGUAAGCAUGCAUCAUAAUCUGAAUUGUGAAAACCAUAAACAAUAAAAGAAGUGCUUAAUUCCUAAGAUCAAGCUCGAAGUGGAUUUCAUAGAUAUGAGCUUGUCUUUAUCAAUGAAUAGCGAGUUGAUUAUGUGAACUUUUUUGGCAUGAAAUGUUUAUUCACAAAAUUUAUACGGUUAUUUCUAUCUAUUUUAAAUUUCAUAAGUGAGUCUACAAAAAUAGAGUGUUCUGUUGAUGUGUCUUCUUCACUGUUGUUGCUUGUUGUUCUUUGUCUUUGGUGUUUAUUAUUUUGCUUCUGGUUUUUUGGUCCUUCUGUUGAUUUCGUUUUCUUGCUUGGUUUGGUUGGUUGUCUGUUUUACUAAGCAAGUUCUGAUUGUAUCCACAAGAUUUCCUUUCUCCCGUUGAUUGAAUACAAAAUCUAAAUUCUCCAUUUCUUUCAAAUUGCAAUAGAAUUCAUUGAACAUGUAUCGAUAAGUCUAUGACUUUUGUCCAUCAUCGCAUAUUCAAAAAAUCUUAGUUUUUGAGUCCAAUUCAAUAAUAAACCUUUAAAUCCAGAUAUCAACUCGAAAUAUUUCAAUAGUCUUCUAAUUAAGCUCGAUUUCAUUGGAUUAAAAUCAACCAAAAACUAAUUCGGUUCCUCUGAUGGUAUUUAUCAAAUGAAAAAAGGAAUACUGUGCAAGUAAUUCUUAGCAAUAUUAUUAUUAUGUACUUAAUUCUGCUUACAUCAAACUAUUACGAGAAUAAGAUAUCUGAUUAGUACUACAUAACUAUUGACAAAUUUGAUAAAACUUCUUACUUUUUGUUAUCAAAAGGAAAAUAAUGCUUGCCCUGACUAAAUUAGCUAGGAUCUUGGGUUUUCUAUUUUUAAAUAGGAUCUUAAUUCUCUGGGUGUAUGUAUAACUACUUUAUUUGCUUGAAUAGUUCCAACCUUAUCAAUGGAAGCAAUUGUAGAAUAUCCAUAAAAGGCAAACUUUAAAGAUAUUUACAUAUAAAAAGGAAGCUUAUAAUUUUGAUAGGAAGCCAAUAUGAAUUUAGUUGAAUGGGAACCACAGCCAGCCCUUGGGUGACGCCACCCAAGUAAGGGCUUUAGGCCCCCAAUUUAAAGAGGUGCCAAAUUUAAGGAGGAUUUAUAAUUUUAUAAUAAUUAUAAUAUAAUUAAUUAUAUUAAAAUAAUAUAUAAAAGUAAAAAAUAAUUAAUAAAAUUUUUUGUUCUCUCAUUUUUUUAAUUAUGUGCUUAAUAAAUCUCAAUUUUCUAUCACUUUCUUAUUUCUAGAAUGUUAUUAAUUCUCAACUAUAUUCUCUUAUUUUCAAUCAACUAACGGUCAUAUGUACUUAAUUAUCUCCAAAAGCUAUUUUUUUCUCACUUAUUUUUGUUAUUUUCAAUCAACUCAUUUAAUGAUUUCCAAUAGCUAUUUUUUUCCUAUUUAUAAAAUCAAUUAUUUUUUUUGUUUUCUAUAUAGCAGUAAAAAGUUGAAGUCAUUAUACGAUAAUAUUUUGAAAGAAUAUUGCCUUAAUCUUGAAUAUUCCUUAAAAUAUAAUAACUAUUCUGAUAUUAAUGGUUUAGAUUUAUUUUCAGAGUUAAAAAUUUUAAAAGAAAUUAUAUAGGAAGAAAACAGUCCAAUUGGCAUACUUAAUCAUACAAGAAGACUCGAUUCUUUUUCAAAUGCAUAUAUUGCUUCUAGAAUAAUGUUAACAAUUCCAAUAAGUGUUACUUCAGGAGAAAGAAGUUUUUCAAAAUUAAAAUUAAUAAACUUUUAUUUAAUAUCAAUAAUGUCUCAAGAAAAAUUAAAUAGAUUGACUAUAUUAUCAAUUGAAAAAGAAAUAUUAAAAAAACUUAAUGAUAAAAGUUUAAUUAAAAAUUUUGCAUCUCAAAAAGUUAAAAAAUUAAAAUUUUAAUAAUAUUUUUUUAAUUUCAAAAAAAAAAAACCUCAUUUGAAUAUUUCGUUUUAAAUCUUUGAAUUUAUUAGACCGUCUCUGAUGGAAACAAGAAUAUUGUCAACUCCAAUUGAUUAGCUUGUCCUUGAGUAAAAUUAGUUGACAACUUUAUUUGAAAAAAUAUAUUCAAGUCUAAAAUUAAAAAGAAACGAUGCUUUGUACCAGGUGAUUGGACAGUGAAAGAAACAACGAAUAACCAGAGGGAUUGUCUAGAUCCAUUUACAAAUGCCAAAAAUGGCAUGCGGCUAUAGGAUUUUGCAAGGAAUAUUCCGAUGACAACAGCAAGACCUGACCGGACACCAACAAAAAACUAAAGCAAAGUAAAAGGAUUGAAAUGUAGACUUUUACGAUCAAUUGAUUGUCUCGUUUUGAGCAAUGAGUUCAUUUUGCAGGACAUUGAUAACACAAGGUUAUAUAAUAUACAUACAACUUAUUAAAUCUGGUGGGAAGUAAAGUCCCAAUUUCCUCAGGAAGUAGAUAACUCAAUUUUAUGUAUGUUAUGUCCUUUAUGGUUCUACUUAGUUACUACUAGCAUUUAGAAAGGAAGGGGGCAUUAGUGCAAGUAGGCAUUAGCAGAUUGAUAGUAUCAUCAUCCAUCCUCACCAGUGCAAGCAACUUUCUACUAAUCACAUGCCAUACAUUGAGUCGCUUUGAACCAUCGAAUCAGAUGAUAAACUACCGCCGAUUACCACCGGCAAGGUUAAAGUGUAGUUACCUUUAUCACUUCUAGGGUCGGCUAUACCAUAAAGUCACCCAAACCCCACCUUUACCACUUCUCUUGUUCCUAAUUUCUUCCAUAAUCAUUUAAACUUUUCAAGUGCUUAAUGGGCCUUUACACUUGAUAGCGCGCUAUUCUUUGAACUUUUUGGCAUUGAAAUGUGAAGCAAUUAGUUUCUGGAUACUUGUGCACAUGCAAAGCUCUCCAAUCAUCCUUUUUGAUUGAUCAAAGCUCCAAAAUAUUAAACAAAUAGAAAUGGUUGACAAAAGCGGCUCAUAUGUCUUUCCAAUGUUUAACGAGGCGGUGUGGGAUGACGUUUGAAAAUGAAUUUUUACAAAUUUAACCCUCAAAACUUGCAAAAAGUAGUCUUUUUCUCUUUCCAAUCGUAUGAAUUUUGGGGCCAGAAAGGGAAUUUCCUGCUCUGUGUUUGUGACUGAAAUUGCAUCCAGAAGUCCUACUGUACUGAAUUGACAACGAUAACUUCGGUCGCAGAAAAGACUUAACAACGAGGUGGGCGGUCGUCGACGUGGAAUAAGCACGUGAAAUAUGCAUAAAUGCAUGGGAAUGAGUUACCCCUAACGAUAUCACAACUUCAUAUGAUAAGUGAAGGAAUUUCUGAAGAAGAGAGGGGCAAUUUUUUUUUGGUAGGUUUGCACUUUUGGACCAACAAAAAACCAAUGGACGGUAUAGCUAAGAAGAUAAUGAUUUUGUUGACGUGGAAACUUGCCUCAUUUCAUUCUACCAAAUGUCAAUUCCGCCGAUGGAAAGCGUUUUACCACUUUAGCCCUCGAAACUCUUCUAUCUCUUAUGAAAUUUAGCAUGAAUUGAAAAAGAGAGGGCUAAAAGGUAAAAGUGGACAACAUAACAAGUACUUUGGAUGCAUCUCCUUUCUGUAUCUAUAUAUAUCAGCUGAUUUCAAAAGGAUUUAGUACCACUAUCACUUCUUAAGCUAGUAGUACUAAAAUUUUCAGACGGCCUUCACCCACCUGUCACCAUGCGUCAAGCAAAGAAGAUCUUCUCAAAGUCACUGACUGACACUGACAUCAAAAAAAGGUUGGCGAUCCCCGCUAAAAUCCUGCCUUCCUUGCCACCUUUCAAUGCAAGCCAUGCCGUGACAAUUCACCUUUUGUAUGGCACAAGGAUGUGGCCAAUUGUCUGCUCUGUCCGCAAAACUGGGUACAAAAAACCUGUUUUCUCCGGUGGUUGGAGAAAUUUUGUUAUUUGCAAUGACUUCCAUGUUGGCGACGAAUUCACCAUGUACAAAGUGCAAGAUGAAGAGGGCUCUUUCCACUAUAGGGUUGAAGUGGAGAAGCUAGCCACACCAUCCGUGACUCUUUCUGCUCGGGCUCUCUCUUUGAAUCAUGAGGUAGAUGGAACCACUGGCACAAGCUGCACAAAACUCAACAACUUUCAACAGGAUCAAGAGCAACUGCCUAAAGCUGAUGCACCGGUCAUACAUGAGGGAGCUACCAUGGAGCAAGUCGAUGCUAUAGCUAAUGCGCCGGUACCUUUCGUUGAUCAUGUUAUUGCCAAACCACCUGGCAUGAUAUUUGGGACAGCUGUGAGUGAUGAAGCGACUAGCAAGGCUCACUUCAAGCCUGAACAUGAGACAGAAAUGAAGUUCUUUGGCAUUACCAUGGCUAUUGGCUUGGGUGAAACACCGCUCAUCAAGGCUCCAUUUGAUCUCAAUGGUUCCGAGAGUACGGGAAGGCUUAAUUUGGACUUGGUUCUGGGACAACCAAAUCUAACCAAAGAAGAGAGAGACAUUGAGGCUCCCUUUGAUCUCAAUGGGGGUGCUUCACUGGCCGUUUUUGGCACUAGUCCAGCUACUGAAGAAGCAUAUUCGACAGUACGGGAAGGCUUAACUUGGACUUGGUUCUGGGACAACCAAGUCCAUAUAACGGAGCAGUGAAUUUAGAUUUAACUUUGGCGCAGCCCCUUGCCGAUACUCGAAGCACCGUAUUUGCUCACUUGAAACCAUAGUAGGAAGUUACAAGACCGAAAGAGAGCUAGAACAGCAGUGCGGGAGCUUUUCGAAGCCUGUCAUGGUCGAGGAUCAUAGUCUAAAGUGAAAUCUGCUGAAUAAGCCCUUGUGUUGAUCACUCCAAUUUUGUUUCUCUUUUCUAUAUUAUUUCCGGCCACUUUUUAACUAGAGUUUCUUAUCCUUCUAGCUUGACAGUAUUUGGGAGUUUUGGAUUGUGGAGAAUAUUGUACGCGUAGUAUGUGCUUUUUAAUGUUUUGGGUUCUGUUCUUGGUUUUAUUAACUAAAGUAGCCGCUUGAUUUCAAUUUUUGAUUUGAUUAAUCCUUAGGGUCACUGAAAAGCCCCAUAUAAUAAGACUUGUUUUUUUAGUCUUUCUUUCGCCAGAGUUGUUGUCCCUCGUUGACCUGCUUUUCUUCCUUCUCCCUUGAUCCUCAAAGGGAUUCCGGUGGGUUAAUCAGAUCCGACUCUAAUGCCAAUUCGUCGGUCGGCAAAAUUCAACCCUUUCCAACAAGAUAUGGAGCUAACCAUCUGCUUGUCUCAUCCUAAUCAGUGAGUUUUUAUUUUUUUGUUUAUUGGUAAACUAAUUAGGAUUUGGUAUUAUUUCUUGGUUGCAGCCAGAUCUAAGAUCUUGUUGUUAUCAUGGAGAAAAACCUAGCUACCCAAGUUCCUAGUUGCUCGCUAUAGAUGAUUAAAACUCUACAUUCUGUUUUUUUUUCAUAUCCUUGCUCCAAAGCAUGAAACACCCACCUAUUCUCUAUCAGAGGAAGAUGACAAGAAGAACCGAUUGCUGCACUUGAUACUUGUUCUGCUUGCUUAGCAGCAGUCGUAUCGAGUGCAGCUUGUGCUCGUCUAUUGAUAUUCUCAUCCUCCCUUACGUUUAUCUUGCCAAAUUAAAAUUAUGCAAAAGUAUCAACUAAUUAAUUAAUUAUCAUUAGAGUUUUGUUAAA
Molecule: long non-coding RNA, 21970 nt
Filed under: Theobroma cacao (cacao)
Lineage: Eukaryota; Viridiplantae; Streptophyta; Magnoliopsida; Malvales; Malvaceae
Description: long non-coding RNA (TCAC_LNC000678)
Source: RNAcentral